Molecule: non-coding RNA, 69 nt
Organism: Spirochaetes bacterium RBG_13_68_11
Lineage: Bacteria; Pseudomonadati; Spirochaetota
Source: Rfam
UCCCCUGUAGCUCAGCUGGUAGAGCGGGAGACUGUUAAUCUCUAGGUCGCAGGUUCGAGUCCUGCCGGG